CAGUCGCCGCGGUAAUACGAGGGGGGCAAGCGUUGUUCGGAAUUAUUGGGCGUAAAGGGUGCGUAGGCGGUUUGAUAAGUCAUCUGUGAAAUCUCUGGGCUCAACCCAGAGUCUGCAGGCGAAACUGUCGAGCUUGAGUAUUGGAGAGGUGAGUGGAAUUUCCAGUGUAGCGGUGAAAUGCGUAGAUAUCGGAAGGAACACCUGUGGCGAAAGCGGCUCACUGGACAAUUACUGACGCUGAUGCACGAAAGCGUGGGGAGCAAACAGGAUUAGAUACCCGCGUAGUCCCUGUCUCUUAUAC
Molecule: ribosomal RNA, 301 nt
Filed under: uncultured bacterium
Lineage: Bacteria
Description: partial 16S ribosomal RNA
Rfam family: Bacterial small subunit ribosomal RNA
Source: RNAcentral